RNAcentral lists this ribosomal RNA (539 nucleotides) under uncultured bacterium. RNAcentral's name for it is "partial 16S ribosomal RNA". It matches the Rfam family "Bacterial small subunit ribosomal RNA", at positions 355 to 902 of the family's 1533-position model. The record is from RNAcentral.
UGGGGAAUAUUGCACAAUGGGCGCAAGCCUGAUGCAGUGACGCCGCGUGAGGGAUGACGGCCUUCGGGUUGUAAACCUCUUUCAGCAGGGACGAAGCUUUCGGGUGACGGUACCUGCAGAAGAAGCACCGGCCAACUACGUGCCAGCAGCCGCGGUAAUACGUAGGGUGCGAGCGUUGUCCGGAAUUACUGGGCGUAAAGAGCUCGUAGGCGGUUUGUCGCGUCGUCUGUGAAAUUCUGCAGCUUAACUGCAGGCGUGCAGGCGAUACGGGCAGACUUGAGUACUACAGGGGAGACUGGAAUUCCUGGUGUAGCGGUGAAAUGCGCAGAUAUCAGGAGGAACACCGGUGGCGAAGGCGGGUCUCUGGGUAGUAACUGACGCUGAGGAGCGAAAGCGUGGGUAGCGAACAGGAUUAGAUACCCUGGUAGUCCACGCCGUAAACGGUGGGUACUAGGUGUGGGUUCCAUUUCACGGGAUCCGUGCCGUAGCUAACGCAUUAAGUACCCCGCCUGGGGAGUACGGCCGCAAGGCUAAAACUU